This 136-nucleotide small nucleolar RNA is filed under the name Zea mays. RNAcentral describes it as "Small nucleolar RNA Z247". It matches the Rfam family "Small nucleolar RNA Z247". Rfam says of the family: Z247 is a member of the C/D class of snoRNA which contain the C (UGAUGA) and D (CUGA) box motifs. Most of the members of the box C/D family function in directing site-specific 2'-O-methylation of substrate RNAs. The record is from Rfam by way of RNAcentral. Lineage: Eukaryota; Viridiplantae; Streptophyta; Magnoliopsida; Poales; Poaceae.
UCAGUAAGCGAUGAUGAACUAAUUCAGUACAUUCUUAAUGGUCUUGAUUUUGAUUACAAUCCUUUUGUGUUAUUUGUCCUUGGACGAACUGAUACACCAUCUCUGAGUGAAUUAUAUGCGCAAUUGUUGGCUUAUG